GCCAAAUAUGUCAGAAUCUCAUCAUUGAUAAUCAUGCCCGAAUCUUCUUAUUGAUAAUCAUGACCGAAGCUCCGUAUUGACAAUUAUGACCGAAAAUCCUUCUCGAUAUCAUACAACGCAGUUUUGUAUUGAUUAGUUUUAUUAUUUUGUCAUUUCUAACUGCCUAUAUGUAAUACCAACAUCUUCAUUACUUAAAUUGAAAGUCUCAUAUUAAUUUUGUCAUUAGGUUGUUGUCUCGUAUAUAUAUGUGUAACGCAUUUCACACACAUUUUCUAUUAUUCAUAUGAAACUGUCCUUAGAUCAACUUUGUAGAUGAAUUGCUGUCUCAAAACUGUAAUUUGUGGUAAUCUAUACCAACGAAAUUCACUAAAACGUGUACCCCACGAAUAAUAAUGAAUCCUUAGAAGUUUAAUUUUUCUGUAUAAUCUCGAUAAGAUGUCGUCGAGUCUCGGGUCCAAUACAGCUAACCUCAAAUCUAUAACAGGGCCAAUACAGAAAUUGUUAGUUAAUAACACUAUAAAAUAAUUUUAAACAGAUCUUAAUUAGAUCACAAAAAUUUAUAUAAUUUAAUUAAAAUAAUAUUUGUAAUCGAGAUCAAGAAAAUGUUGAAUAAGGUUGAAAAAGUCACCCGUCAUGUCUUAUUAUUUAACAUCAUACAGAAAGGCUUUAUUGGAUAUAUUUGAAACUAACAAUUCAUUGGUAGACGUGUCAUAAUGCAGAGCCAUUGGGAAGCUCAGUCCAUCUUCACUUGAUAAGAGUUGUCUGUAGUGUUGUCCAUCAGCAGAGAUAACAACCACAUUGUUAGUAUCUAUCCCUGCUACAUAUACGUUACCAUCAUCGUCCACAGAGACACCUAUGGAGAGCGCACAACACUUUUAUCACAGAACGUCCACAGUAUGUGACCAUGGUAAUCACAGCAGGUUACGCUGCUAUUGUAAUCUGUGUAGAACAAUUUGUCACCGAAUGUUGUAACGUACGCAGAAACUGAAAGAUUGGUAUUGUUAACAUUGGUAAUUGUUUCGUCAUUCAGACUGAUCAUCUGUAUUCCUUUCUCUCUGGCACAAUAUAUUAAAUAUCCAUCUUUGUAUGCUACUCCACCAUUAUAUGAAUCAACUUUUAUUGAUUUCGUCUUUGAUUUCUUCUUUAAGUCGAUUAUAUUAAUCUGAUUUGAUUCACCGGAAGUUACAGCAAUAGAAUCAUCACCAAUAAAUACCACAUCAAACGUUCGACUAAUGUUCUUUAUCUCAAAAUCUUUUGAUCCGUCAGACUUUAGUACUGUCAAUUUAUUGUC
Molecule: long non-coding RNA, 1291 nt
Filed under: Mytilus galloprovincialis (Mediterranean mussel)
Lineage: Eukaryota; Metazoa; Mollusca; Bivalvia; Mytilida; Mytilidae
Source: RNAcentral